This 78-nucleotide non-coding RNA is filed under the name Clostridium sp. RNAcentral describes it as "Fluoride sequence". It matches the Rfam family "Fluoride riboswitch aptamer (crcB RNA motif)". Lineage: Bacteria; Bacillati; Bacillota; Clostridia; Eubacteriales; Clostridiaceae. The record is from RNAcentral.
AUAUUUAAUGGAAAUGAUGUCUUCCAAGUUUUACUAUUAAACAAAACCGCUUAUUUAGCUAAUGACGUCUAUGAUUUU